RNAcentral lists this long non-coding RNA (726 nucleotides) under Panax ginseng (ginseng). Its description in RNAcentral is "long non-coding RNA (PGIN_LNC016547)". The record is from RNAcentral. Lineage: Eukaryota; Viridiplantae; Streptophyta; Magnoliopsida; Apiales; Araliaceae.
CCGACACAAAAAUUCCAAAUUUGAUUAAAAAUUCAAACUAAUAUUUUGGCAUAAUGAUAUUGAAGAAAAUAAUAUCAUUUAAGAAGAAAAUAACAUCCCUUACCUCAAAAUAACGGUACUUCUGAUCGAAAUAUCGGAUAUAAAGUCGAAGAAAACUUGUUCCGAACAGCAACUCUCAAAGUAUCAAAAUACUCACAAAAAUACACUCGAUAAUCUAGAGAGAAAGAAAACUUAUUUCUGGUGUGAUUUUCAAAUCUAACCUAAGUGUCUAUUUAUAGGAAAAUGCUAGAACGCCAUAGGAGACUAAAAUAAUAAAAUAUUAUUUUUUUUCUUUCCUUUUUUUUCCUACGCAUGCAAAGACCAGCCAUCUAUCAUGCCAUUCUUGAAAAAAAAUCCCAACAGCCCACAUAUAAAACAAAAGUGGGUUCCACCCAUAAUUUAAUAAAAAUCAUUUUAUUUUCCAAAACUUCAGUAAUUCAUAGAAAUUAGCCCAUUUAUCAGAAAAAUACGAAUUUUAUGUCCAUUCCACACGAAAUCGAAUUCUCUACAACUUUGUAGCUUUGAGUUUUUCCAAAUUCCAAACAAAAAAUAUUCAAAAUCCACAAACGGAUGAUUUUUAAUACCUUCAUUCCGACAAAAUACUGAUAAAAUACCUCAGCAUUAAUUCCUUCAUUAAUAACCACAUAAAAUAAAUAAAUCCAUCAUUUAUAUCCACAUCAAAUAAAU